Long non-coding RNA from Protobothrops mucrosquamatus (brown spotted pit viper), 1285 nucleotides. RefSeq lists it as uncharacterized. The transcript has 3 exons. NCBI's taxonomy places the organism in Eukaryota, Metazoa, Chordata, Lepidosauria, Squamata, Viperidae. The record is from RefSeq and is a predicted model, not a curated record.
CCUUUCCUCGAUCUACUUUGCUCUAAAAUGGCAGUGACUAACGAAGCCGAGCUCUCCCCUCAGGGACCUCCGCGGAGCCAGGAAGUCCUGUUCGGGUUUUUUUUAUGUAUGCGUAAUAUUAACUCGCCACGAAGGCUACGUUCACACGACGUUAAUCCUGAUUUAACCGCACUUCCCCCCGCAUGAGAUUAACGCUACCCCUGAUGGAGGUGUCGGGUCUCCACCUCACUCGAAGACGCCGCAGGGCCUGGGAAUGCAGGGCGCGACUUUCGGGGCCUUAAGAUGGUCGCGUUGGAAGGCCGAAGAGAGCUCGCCCCUUAGUUGUUGCCUGUUGUUGAUGGCAGGGGCGAGGUCAGCUUGCCCUGGGCUUCCCUUUGGCCAGCCUGGUCUACAAAAAUCGGCCGAAGCUGCUCGAGGAGUCCUCACCAAAUCAUUGGAAGUUGCAAGAAGAGAUUUCCGUAGCGCUUGAUGUAAUCGGGAUUGGACAGCAGACAACAGAAGGGACAUGUUCUAAAAUUUCUGAGAAGCAGAAAGUGAGCAAGAAGACAGAUGAGAUGACAGGAUUCAUGGAUGACUUUACUCUGAGCUCACCUAAAGGGAGAUCUCGGUUAUGUUCAAGGAGCAGCUGUAGCAGGCGAUCCUCCUCAGUAUCUUCUAGUGAUUCAUCUUACAGUUCAAGUUCUACUUCAAGUAUUUCAUCUGGAGUAGAUCAAGAAGCAGAUCAAGAUCACAUGCUAAAAGUAAUUGUUUUCAGACAUCCAGAGGAUACUCAAGAUCUUAUUCCAGGAGUUGAUCAAGAUCACACAAUUACGGAUACCAGGAAAGAUACCAUCUUAGAUAUUACAGAAGACAUCCUCACUCACGGCCAAGAUAUUGAUCACGGAGCAGAUCUCCUAUUAGAUCAUACUAUCACAGGUCUUACUCCUCAGGUAGAUCAAGAAGCUGAGGAUACUAUAGGUUUGGAAGAACCAUAUGUCUGGAAACUUAUAGAACAUGGGUGUCAAACUUGCGAUGUCACGUGAUGUAUUGCGACCUUUUCCCCAUUGCCAGCAAUGGGGUGGGCGUGGUUUUGGCAUGAUGCAUCUGGGCUGGCAGUUUGACACCCUUGUUAUAGAAGGUGGAGAAACCGUCUCGCAAUAAAAGCCCUCUUCUCUUGACAGAAAAAGGUAUUUAAGGGGGGGAAAAAAUCUUGGGUUGUGAAGAAAGUAUAUCAAAAUUCUUUGUCCAGAUAUGAAAAUGGCAGUAUUUGAAGCAUCUUACAGUGUACCUUAUAAAUAAUGGCAAA